AUUUGCUUGUAUUUUACCCGCAUUUAAUACGUAACAAAAGAAAGAUACAGGCAGACGAUAGUAUUAACAGUGUGGUCAAUUUUGGCGAUAUAAAUACUUAAAAAGGAAGAAAAGAUGAAAGCUUUUAUAGUCUGUGUCAUCCUUUUGAUGCUACAAACGGCUUAUAUAACAGCAUUUGCUACAUACCGACCAAGUUCCUGCUGUACCUACAAACAAUGUGAGCAUAAUUUUGCUUGCAUAGAUCGCCCAGAUCAACAAGACGGAUGCGGAUGUGUAUUUGCUGGAAGUAUCGGCAUCUUUCACAGAAUGUUUCGAGAGGUUAACACCCGCAGAAUAGAAAGUCAGCCUUUAACCGGCAAUGAAUAAUCACAGAUGGUGAAUAAAACAGAAGCGACCACAAGCUAAAAUAAUUUGAAAUAAAUAAGAAGAACAGAACAGAACAUACUUUUAUUUUGGAUUUGUGCAUAGUAUAUCAUCACUGCGAUAUAAAUACACAAAAAAGAUGUAAAGAUGUCACGUUUCUACCUAAUAAAUAAUAUAGGAUUACAUAUAUAGUAUUAAAUUUCAUGUAAAGCUGAAGAAUGAACAAUUAUUGAUUACAGAUGAAAAUAUAGCUAUCACUUAUAAAACAAUUUGCUUAGCAGAGUAUAAACAUAUCUGAUUCAAAAAAAUCAAUUGAAGUUUGAGUAAAAAUGUGUAACAAAAAAAGUAUUC
Ruditapes philippinarum (Manila clam) is the source of this 714-nucleotide long non-coding RNA. RefSeq lists it as uncharacterized. The record is from RefSeq and is a predicted model, not a curated record. Lineage: Eukaryota; Metazoa; Mollusca; Bivalvia; Venerida; Veneridae. The transcript has 3 exons.